Long non-coding RNA from Rhododendron vialii, 392 nucleotides. RefSeq lists it as uncharacterized. The record is from RefSeq and is a predicted model, not a curated record. The transcript is spliced from 3 exons. Lineage: Eukaryota; Viridiplantae; Streptophyta; Magnoliopsida; Ericales; Ericaceae.
ACUCCAACAAUGAUGGUCUAGAGAGACAAAACGAAGUAGGUUUUGGUUCCGCACUCAUCCAAACACAAAUCCGAGACACACCAACUCUAGCACGACCCCGAGCACCUCCGAACCAAUCUCCAAUCACCCAAAGUCAGCUCGGGCGUUCUGUUGCUCCGCCAUCUUCUCCGAUUUUUUCAAAACCAUUUUUUACUUUCUCGGAUAGAUUCAAGGUAUAGAAGAUAGAACUGAAGGAUCAUAUCAACUCGAAGACAGCCUCUAGAAGAAUCAAUCGUAUCUAGAUCUAGCAAAGCACCUGUGUGGUUACUAAGAAAACACUUAUUACAAAAUGUGGAAGCUAAAGAUUGCUGAAGGCAAGGGACCAUAUUUGUUUAGCACCAACAACUACGUUG